UACGAAGGGGCUAGCGUUGCUCGGAAUCACUGGGCGUAAAGGGUGCGUAGGCGGGUCUUUAAGUCAGGGGUGAAAUCCUGGAGCUCAACUCCAGAACUGCCUUUGAUACUGAGGAUCUUGAGUUCGGGAGAGGUGAGUGGAACUGCGAGUGUAGAGGUGAAAUUCGUAGAUAUUCGCAAGAACACCAGUGGCGAAGGCGGCUCACUGGCCCGAUACUGACGCUGAGGCACGGAAAGCGUGGGGAGCAACAGG
This 252-nucleotide ribosomal RNA is filed under the name uncultured bacterium. Its description in RNAcentral is "partial 16S ribosomal RNA". It matches the Rfam family "Bacterial small subunit ribosomal RNA", at positions 524 to 775 of the family's 1533-position model. The record is from RNAcentral.